UUAACUCAAUUUUGUAUGCAGUUAGAACAGCGCCCAUAGUGGCAAACGUAGGCAAACGUUCUAACUCCAUACAAAUUUGAGUUA
Molecule: microRNA precursor, 84 nt
Filed under: Bombyx mori (domestic silkworm)
Lineage: Eukaryota; Metazoa; Arthropoda; Insecta; Lepidoptera; Bombycidae
Description: mir-2807 microRNA precursor family
Rfam family: mir-2807 microRNA precursor family
Source: Rfam by way of RNAcentral